Molecule: ribosomal RNA, 253 nt
Filed under: uncultured bacterium
Lineage: Bacteria
Description: partial 16S ribosomal RNA
Rfam family: Bacterial small subunit ribosomal RNA
Source: RNAcentral
UACGGAGGGUGCAAGCGUUAUCCGGAUUCACUAGGUUUAAAGGGUCCGUAGGCGGUUUGGUAAGUCAGUGGUGAAAGCCCAUCGCUCAACGGUGGAACGGCCAUUGAUACUGCUAGACUUGAAUUAUUAGGAAGUAACUAGAAUAUGUAGUGUAGCGGUGAAAUGCUUAGAGAUUACAUGGAAUACCAAUUGCGAAGGCAGGUUACUACUAAUGGAUUGACGCUGAUGGACGAAAGCGUGGGUAGCGAACAGG